AUGACUUUGAUCUGCGUCCUCAUCUGGACUCUCCUCUGCUGCUGCUUCACAGAGUCCAGAGGACAGUUCACAGUGACUCAGCCUGGAGCAGUGAGCUCUGCUGUGGGAGACACAGUCACCAUCAAGUGUAGGACCAGUCAGAAUGUUCAUGUUUGGAACAACAAUCACCGUUUAGCCUGGUACCAAAAGGAAGAUGGAGGAGUUCCUAAACUGCUCAUUCACUCUGCUAGCACUCGACAAUCAGGGAUUCCAGCUCGUUUUACAGGCAGUGGAUCAAACUCUGACUUCACUCUGACCAUCAGUGGAGUCCAGGCUGAAGAUGCAGCAGUUUAUUACUGUCAGAGUCAGCACUAUCCUAACAGUCAGUGGGUGUGCACACAGUGA
Non-coding RNA from Oreochromis niloticus (Nile tilapia), 384 nucleotides. Lineage: Eukaryota; Metazoa; Chordata; Actinopteri; Cichliformes; Cichlidae. The record is from the annotation of a RefSeq genome assembly.